RNAcentral lists this ribosomal RNA (253 nucleotides) under uncultured bacterium. Its description in RNAcentral is "partial 16S ribosomal RNA". It matches the Rfam family "Bacterial small subunit ribosomal RNA", at positions 524 to 776 of the family's 1533-position model. The record is from RNAcentral.
UACGGAGGGUGCAAGCGUUAUCCGGAUUCAUUGGGUUUAAAGGGUGCGUAGGCGGAAUGAUAAGUCAGUGGUGAAAUCCCAUAGCUCAACUAUGGAACUGCCAUUGAUACUGCCAUUCUCGAGUAUAGUUGAAGUGGACGGAAUGUAACAUGUAGCGGUGAAAUGCUUAGAUAUGUUACAGAACACCAAUUGCGAAGGCAGUUCACUAAGCUAUUACUGACGCUGAGGCACGAAAGCGUGGGGAGCGAACAGG